UAAUACGCGAUGAGAUCCAGCUUUAUGCGGUGACCACCGAUGGUGGGGCAUUCGAAGGUGAGCUCAGCGUCCUCGAGUCCUUCGCUGAAGCAACGGGUGGAGAUGUUUUCCAGGGCUUGUCGACAGCGGCGAUGGAAAGCGCCUUCAGCCGCAUCACCGAACAGGCUCGCAAUCAGUAUGUGCUGGGAUACCAGUCCACCAACCGCGUUGGAAUCGCUCGUCCGGUAUACCGCAAGAUUGAAGUGACAACUUCCAAUCCGAAGUGGGAAGUCAGCCACAGAAAAGGGCUACUACCAGGCUCCAUAACUGUUAAAUCGUGCCGCGGGCUAAAGCCGCGCGGCCUACAAGGCGAGUCUUACGUUCAUGAAAAUCCAGACGCCGUAGAACCAGUUGUAGGCCGCGUGGCUUUAGCCCGCGGCACGAUUUUGCAGGGCUCCAUAACCCACGUCUCGUGUGUUAGCCUCUAUCGCUUGUAGCAGGAACUCAAUGCGGUAUGGCGGGCAGGAAACUGACUAACCUUCUCGAAAUGGAGAUGCUGGCGCACGCUCUGCGGAGCGUGAGCGAAUGCGUGGUCGUUACCGACAUGGCGGACACGAUCAUCUUCGUUAACGAUGCAUUUCUCACCACCUACGGCUACACUGCCGACGAACUCAUUGGCACGAAUAUCGACAUCGUUCGCUCCAGCAGCAACCCGACAAGCGUUACCGACAAGAUCCUUCCUGCAACUCUUGCCGGUGGCUGGUCCGGCGAAGUCUUCAAUCGACGUCGAAAUGGAGAGGAGUUUCCGGUCUCGCUCUCAACACGUGUCGUGCGCAACGAAAUGGAUCAACCGAUUGCCUUGAUCGGUGUGGCGGUGGACAUUACCGAGCGUAAGAAAGCGCAAAGCCAACUUGUCGAGGCGCUGAACGCCGCGGAGGCCGCCGCCAGGGCAAAGUCCAAGUUCCUUGCGGCGAUGAGUCACGAGAUCCGAACGCCGAUGAACGGCGUGAUCGGCAUGACGGAACUGCUUCUGAAUACACCACUGACGCCGGAACAACGUGAGUUCGUGCAGACCAUUCAUGUUUGCGGCGAAAACCUGUUGACGAUCAUCAAUGACAUUCUCGACUUCUCGAAGAUCGAAUCCGGGAAAAUCGAGCUGGAAAACCGGGCGUUCGACGUACGAACGGCGAUCGAUGACGUCUUCAGGAUCUUUGCCCAGCAGGCACUGGAAAAGAAGCUGGCGCUGGUUCAGUUGAUCGAUCCUAAUGUGCCGGCCGUAGUCGUUGGAGACGUCACACGAUUCAAACAGAUCCUGAUCAAUCUCGUUGGGAACGGCAUCAAGUUCACGGACAAAGGCCAGGUCAGUGUCCACCUCGCUGCUAAAGCUCAGGGAGAUGACGUCGUGAAACUUGUUUGUGUCGUCAAAGAUACGGGAAUGGGAAUUCCACCGGAUAAGCUUCACCGUCUGUUCAAAGCGUUCUCACAGGUGGACGCAUCCACCAGUCGACGCUUCGGCGGGACGGGGCUUGGACUCGCCAUAUGUAUGCACUUCGUCAAAAUGAUGGGCGGACGAAUCACAGUGGACAGCGAACCCGGCAUGGGUUCGACGUUCAGUUUCUCGAUAAAGGCGCGUCGCUCCUCGGAAGGCGCUAUCCCGACCACAUCCGCGUCUCGCGAACCGGAAAAGUCCGUCGUAUCCAGGUUGGAUCCGGGGCUUUCGGAAAGCCUGCCGCUACGGAUCCUCGUGGUUGAGGACAAUCCCGUCAAUCAAAAAACUCCUGCUUCUGAUUCUCGGCAAGAUGGGCUAUGUGGCUGAUGUCGCGGAGAACGGCGUUCAGGCUCUCGCGGCUGCGAAACGCGCGCCAUACGAUGUCAUCUUCAUGGAUCUUCACAUGCCGGAAAUGGACGGACUGGAGGCCACUCGACGUAUACGCGAUGCUCGAAGAGACGGCCAUCAGCCACGGAUUGUUGCGAUGACCGCAGACGCGUUGGUCGGAGACCGAGAGCGAUGUCUUGCCGCCGGAAUGGAUGACUAUGUCGGUAAGCCGAUUCGCGCCAAUCAGGUUCAGGAAGUGCUUCAACGCUGGGGCAACGGAUCAGUCCUCCAUCCAGGCGCCCAGCGGACGGAGUGAAUCGAUGUGAUCGCAGACGAUCUUCAGGGAUCCGAGAAUCGGGACCGCGAGAAUCAAUCCCAUGGCGCCCCAAAGCCAGCCCCACAGCAACAGCGCGAUCGUCACGGCCAGCGGAUUCAACUUCAAUCGUUUGCCGAUGACUUUUGGAAACAGCACGUUGACGGCAAACACAUGGAGUCCAACCACGAGAAGCGCGAUCAGCACAAAUUCUCUCGAUUCGAGUAGACCGAUGCCGGCUGCCACCGGAGGCAACAUCGCCAGGACCACGCCAAGGUAAGGGAUCAAGCUCAGGAAUCCGCUGAUCAGUCCCAGAAAGUAAAAGUACGGCAAUUUCAACAGACCGAACGCGACGAUGCUGACGACCGACAAGAACAAGCCACACA
This 2494-nucleotide unclassified non-coding RNA is filed under the name uncultured fungus. Its description in RNAcentral is "sequence contains 18S rRNA gene, ITS1, 5.8S rRNA gene, ITS2, 28S rRNA gene". Lineage: Eukaryota; Fungi. The record is from RNAcentral.